This 936-nucleotide long non-coding RNA is filed under the name Homo sapiens (human). RNAcentral's name for it is "HSALNT0020309". The record is from RNAcentral. Lineage: Eukaryota; Metazoa; Chordata; Mammalia; Primates; Hominidae.
CCUCAGCCUGCCCUUGUGACUGGAAAAAGCGGGGUCAGCUCAUCAAAGCAGAACAGGGUUGUUAGCUAGCUUUCCUCUUUCAGAGGGUUAUAUUAAGAAGGCGUGGCUCAGGGAGGGGGUUACUGGCCCUGGCUGGCCCCAGCCAGAAAGUUGCGGGGGUGGGGUUUGCUAGAGCAGGCAGAUGCCUGCCAGGGCCAGGGAGAGCUUUCUGAGAGGGUGGUGAGAGACUGGAGAGGUGGGAGAGGGGUAGCUAUGAAAGGAAAAUGUGUGGAGGUGACAUGGUCUGUAGGUUGGGCCAGGCCAGAAGAGAAGGUCAAAGAGAAAUGAGUGUUCCAGUCAGGCUUGAUGUCUUAGGGAAGAUCCUGGGGCCCAGCCCACUGCCCCCUCCUCUCCGUCUCUCCUGCUCCCGGGGCUGAGGGAAUGGAAGGAGCUGUGCCACUGUGAGGAGGAGGACCUGCAUCUGUGAGGGGCCUGCUGGGACCAGCUGCUGGGGAGUACAGCUUUCUCUCAGUAGCUGAAGGGGGCUGCCUCUUUUCCAAGGGGCAGCUGCCACGCCACCGCAGGAAAAUCUGGCUUGCCAUUUUGGAUACCUGGAUUUUCCCACAGUGUGAGGGGGCUGGGGGUGUGGCCCAGGAAGGUGCACCUGAGGUGGGAGAAGAAAGAAGAAGACUGGAUGGGAGUCAGCUGAAUUGGGGGCCGCAGAGGCUGGGGUGAGAGGGAGGGAAGGAGGUGUCAAAGCUCAGCCUCCCAAAGCUGAGCGAGAAGAGCAUGACGGGAGGGUGUUUCCCACCUCCUCGCCCACUCCAGCGCAGGGUCCUGUCUCCGUCCAAACGCUGCAAGCCUUUCCACAUUCCUGCACUACCUUCCUGCGCUGCCUUUGGAGAUCUGAGAGUCUUCAGGCAUGAACUCUGGGAAAGACUAAAGGGCUGUUGCUCU